GGUCACCAUGGCGACCAGGCGCCUUGGGGUGGGGGAGACGCUGGGGGCCCUCAACGCGGCCCUGGGGCCAGGCGGUCCGGUGUGGAUCAAGGAGACGCGCACCCGCCACCUGCGUUCCCGAGACUUUCUGGCACCGCACCGCGCGCUGCAGGCGCGCUUCGAUGACGGCCAGGUUCCGGAGCAUUUGCUCCAUGGCCUCGCCUGCGUGCAGGGCCCCGGUGUGGCCCCGGUGCUGCGCUGCGCGCCGACCCCCGCGGGUCUGUCUCUCCAACUGCAGCGGUCCGCCGUCUUCGAGCGCGUCCUCAGCGCCGUGGCCGCCUAUGCCACGCCCGCCUCGCCUGCCUCGCUGGGCCAGCGCGUCUUACUACACUGCCCAGCACUGCGCAGCUCCCCCUGCGCACUCCGCUUGAGCCAGCUGCGUACGGUGCUCGUGGCCGAUCACCUGGCGCGAGCCCUGCGCGCUCACGGGGUGUGCGUGCGCCUAGUGCCAGCUGUGCGGGAUCCGCACAUGCUGACCUUCCUGCAGCAACUGCGGGUGGACUGGCCCGCUGCCUCGGAGAGAGCUUCCUCCCACACCCUGAGGAGCCACGCCCUUGAAGAACUUACCUCUGCUAAUGACGGGAGGACACUGUCCCCUGGCAUCCUAGGCAGACUGUGUCUGAAGGAGCUGGUGGAAGAACAGGGCCGCACAGCUGGCUAUGACCCCAACCUGGACAACUGUCUGGUGACUGAGGAUCUCCUCUCUGUGCUGGCUGAGCUGCAAGAGGCUCUAUGGCAUUGGCCCGAGGACAGCCACCCAGGCCUGGUUAGUGACUCCCAGCCCUGUAGGUUCUCCCAAACCAAGUAUACUGUACUUCCACAGUUAUGAUUGUCCUCCCUUAGGCUGGGGCCUCAGAUACCGGUACAGGCGGCUGCCUGGUUGUACAUGUUGUUAGCUGUGAGGAGGAGUUCCAGCAACAGAAGUUGGACCUGCUUUGGCAGAAGUUGGUUGACAAGGCUCCACUCAGACAGAAGCACCUGAUCUGUGGCCCUGUGAAAGUAGCUGGUGCACCUGGCACUCUGAUGACUGCCCCUGAGUACUACGAGUUCCGGCAUGCCCAGGUGUGCAAGGCCUCAGCACUGAAGCAUGGUGGGGAUCUGGCACAAGACCCAGCCUGGACAGAGAUCUUUGGUGUUCUCUCUGUGGCCACCAUCAAGUUUGAGAUGCUGAGCACAGCCCCACAGAGUCAGCUCUUCCUGGCUCUGGCUGACAGCAGUAUCUCCACGAAGGGCACAAAGAGUGGCACCUUUGUCAUGUAUAAUUGUGCCCGUCUUGCCACACUCUUUGAGAGUUACAAGUGUAGUAUGGAACAAGGUCUGUACCCCACUUUUCCUCCUGUGAGCAGUCUGGACUUCUCACUGCUACAUGAUGAGGUGAGUGUCCCUCCUGGUAGCUGGCACAAGGAGGCCUGGACUUCCCCUCCCAGCACCUUUCUCCCCCACAGGGUGAGUGGUUGUUGCUCUUCAACAGUAUCCUCCCCUUUCCGGAUCUGCUGAGCCGGACAGCAGUGCUGGACUGCACAGCCCCGGGGCUCCACAUUGCUGUACGCACAGAGAUGAUAUGCAAGUUCCUGGUACAGCUCAGCAUGGAUUUCAGCUCCUACUACAACCGGGUACACAUCCUGGGGGAGCCUCGACCACACCUCUUUGGUCAGAUGUUCGUCCGCCUGCAGCUUCUGAGAGCUGUGCGUGAGGUGCUCCAUACUGGCCUGGCUAUGCUGGGUCUCCCUCCACUGAGCCACAUCUAAGGCCACAGAGG
RNAcentral lists this small RNA (1798 nucleotides) under Pan troglodytes (chimpanzee). Its description in RNAcentral is "retained intron". The record is from RNAcentral. Lineage: Eukaryota; Metazoa; Chordata; Mammalia; Primates; Hominidae.